Long non-coding RNA from Rhagoletis pomonella (apple maggot), 236 nucleotides. RefSeq lists it as uncharacterized. Lineage: Eukaryota; Metazoa; Arthropoda; Insecta; Diptera; Tephritidae. The record is from RefSeq and is a predicted model, not a curated record. The transcript has 3 exons.
UACCACUUUCUUUUAUAAUUAAACUUCUUGCUGCGCGGAGUAACACUAAAGGAUUUAAACGUUUAAUUCCCCUAUCUCAUGAGGUAGCAAAACUUUUCUCGUGGAAGGGAACUGGUACCAAAAGCAGCACUAUUGGUUUGGCAACGACUGCGGCAAUAGGAAGUACGGAUCAUAAUAUUAUUUAUUACCACUUUUUACUUAAUUAAAUUUUCCGGUUUCCAAUGGAGUUUAAUCUU